GCAAUGAUGAUCUUUUAUGCUUUUGAUCAGCAAUGAAAUAAAACAGCAAUUCCUCUAAGAAGUUCUGAGCUC
Molecule: small nucleolar RNA, 72 nt
Organism: Fundulus heteroclitus (mummichog)
Lineage: Eukaryota; Metazoa; Chordata; Actinopteri; Cyprinodontiformes; Fundulidae
Source: Ensembl